UCCACACUGACACCAGCAAACAGAGUAAACAACAACAGAGUAAACAACAACAAACAGGAGCUUAUAUUUGGGACAGUUGUGGUUCUUACCCAGUGUGCCAGAACAACAGAGAACCAUCAGAACCUCCACUGGCAAACAGACCUUCAUGGACGGGAUGCCAGGCUACAGCUGAAGACACAAACACAGCACAGGUGUGACUCUCAUCUGUGUGAGUGUACAGGUGUGACUCUCAUCUGUGUGAGUGUACAGGUGUGACUCUCAUCUGUGUGAGUGUACAGGUGUGACUCAUCUGUGUGAGUGUACAGGUGUGACUCAUCUGUGUGAGUGUACAGGUGUGACUCAUCUGUGUGAGUGUACAGGUGUGACUCAUCUGUGUGAGUGUACAGGUGUGACUCUCAUCUGUGUGAGUGUACAGGUGUGACUCAUCUGUGUGAGUGUACAGGUGUGACUCAUCUGUGUGAGUGUACAGGUGUGACUCAUCUGUGUGAGUGUACAGGUGUGACUCAUCUGUGUGAGUGUACAGGUGUGACUCUCACCUGUGGCCUCCUUCUUGUGUCCUCUGAACACCUGCAGCUCCUCCUUCAGGUUUCUGAUGUCGAACAGUUUGCACAGGUGAUCCCGUGACGCCGUCAGCAGCCAGUUACCGUUGAGGUUCCACUUCACCUCCAUCACAGUGUUCUUGUGGGCGUGUCUGAGGACAGACAGGUGUGAUCAGCUGACUGCCUACAGCGUAAACCAUGAUGUCAUCAUGUACAAACUCAUUUUAUUGGUUCCUGCUGGUGUCGGUUCGUCUGAUGUUAGAACCUGAAGCUUGAUCUCCCACAUUAACAUUCCAUCAGUCAGAACAUCAUCCACCUGUCCACUUCACCUAUGAGUCUCAUUUAAAAUGCUCCAAAAAUAAGCUGCAGCUGAUUCUGUAGAACCAGAACAGAACCUCCUCCUGAUUCUGGUUCUCCAGGACCGACUCAGCUGAAACCAACAGGGAAACAUUCAGAGAGUUUCAGGUUGAACUGCAGGCAGUGUUUCCUCAGAGAGACUAAAAUAAAUGCAGCAGAACCAGAGGAGCAGGUUGGUGGAGAUCCAUCCAGCAUGAAGAAACAUCUACAGAUGAUGAGCAGAGUAGAGAGGAAAAGUCUGGAAAUAUGGAGAUAGAAAAACAUCUACAGGAUGAGGAGAUGGUAGGAGUUUAAGAGGAACCAGCUGGAGGUUCUGGAAGAUGUUUACAUCUUCCAGAACCUCCAGCUGGUUCCUCCUGAAGCUUCUACCAUCACCAGGACCAGGAUGACUGAGAACAUCCACAGAAACUUGAGAUUUAACAUCUGAGGAAACAUGCUGGAUGAUGGAUGAGGGUUUUUUUUUAAUUAUAAUUGUAAAAUAAAUAAAAAAAUGUUUCCUCUG
Long non-coding RNA from Acanthochromis polyacanthus (spiny chromis), 1398 nucleotides. RefSeq lists it as uncharacterized. The transcript has 4 exons. Lineage: Eukaryota; Metazoa; Chordata; Actinopteri; Pomacentridae. The record is from RefSeq and is a predicted model, not a curated record.